Molecule: long non-coding RNA, 93 nt
Organism: Sinocyclocheilus grahami
Lineage: Eukaryota; Metazoa; Chordata; Actinopteri; Cypriniformes; Cyprinidae
Exons: 3
Source: RefSeq, a predicted model, not a curated record
GUUGGGUGGAGCAAGCAGGUGGCAUGCAUCCUCCCCAUCGUGGCUGGGGUGGGGUUCGUCCUUCCCGUGGGGGAAGGAUGGGGGUAGGGCUCG